RNAcentral lists this ribosomal RNA (534 nucleotides) under uncultured bacterium. RNAcentral describes it as "bacterial SSU rRNA". It matches the Rfam family "Bacterial small subunit ribosomal RNA", at positions 869 to 1402 of the family's 1533-position model. The record is from RNAcentral.
CCGCCUUGGGGAGUCGGCCGCAAGGUAAAACUCAAAGGAAUUGACGGGGACCCGCACAAGCGGUGGAGCAUGUGGUUUAAUUCGAUGCAACGCGAAGAACCUUACCUGGUCUUGACAUACAGAGAACUUUCUAGAGAUAGAUUGGUGCCUUCGGGAACUCUGAUACAGGUGCUGCAUGGCUGUCGUCAGCUCGUGUCGUGAGAUGUUGGGUUAAGUCCCCGUAACGAGCGCAACCCUUAUCCUUAUUUGCCAGCACAUCAUGGUGGGAACUAUAGGGAGACUGCCGGUGAUAAACCGGAGGAAGGCGGGGACGACGUCAAGUCAUCAUGGCCCUUACGACCAGGGCUACACACGUGCUACAAUGGGAAGGACAAAGGGUUGCUAAGCCGCGAGGUGGUGCUAAUCUCAUAAACCUUUUCGUAGUCCGGAUCGGAGUCUGCAACUCGACUCCGUGAAGUCGGAAUCGCUAGUAAUCGUGGAUCAGAACGCCACGGUGAAUACGUUCCCGGGUCUUGUACACACCGCCCGUCAUAU